This 497-nucleotide ribosomal RNA is filed under the name uncultured bacterium. Its description in RNAcentral is "partial 16S ribosomal RNA". It matches the Rfam family "Bacterial small subunit ribosomal RNA", at positions 28 to 507 of the family's 1533-position model. The record is from RNAcentral.
GACGAACGCUGGCGGCGUGCCUAAUACAUGCAAGUUGAGCGCUGAAGGUUGGUACUUGUACCAACUGGAUGAGCAGCGAACGGGUGAGUAACGCGUGGGGAAUCUGCCUUUGAGCGGGGGACAACAUUUGGAAACGAAUGCUAAUACCGCAUAAAAACUUUAAACACAAGUUUUUAGUUUGAAAGAUGCAAUUGCAUCACUCAAAGAUGAUCCCGCGUUGUAUUAGCUAGUUGGUGAGGUAAAGGCUCACCAAGGCGAUGAUACAUAGCCGACCUGAGAGGGUGAUCGGCCACAUUGGGACUGAGACACGGCCCAAACUCCUACGGGAGGCAGCAGUAGGGAAUCUUCGGCAAUGGACGAAAGUCUGACCGAGCAACGCCGCGGGAGUGAAGAAGGUUUUCGGAUCGUAAAACUCUGUUGGUAGAGAAGAACGUUGGUGAGAGUGGAAAGCUCAUCAAGUGACAGUAACUACCCAGAAAGGGACGGCUAACUACGUG